CUGGCUGGGUUUCUCUGCAGCCCUGGUGUGUCUCUGUGCAGUGGUUAUCGCUUCUGGAGAGAGGAGGUGACAGAAGCUACUUGAAAUGAAACAUCAAGGUUCCCAUGGAUGGCAUCUCUGGGUCAGCCGGUGCUGCUGGGCCCUAGAUGGGAUGUCAGAUACCAGUCAUUGCCAUGUGCUGUGAGGAGGCUGAGAGGCUGAGGGUAUUUCCUGGGCCAUUUCUCUCCCAAGGCCGCCUUUGGAGCAGCCCCUGUCAGACAGGACGUAUGGUCUCCAACACGCAGUGCUUUUAAGGCCAGAGAAAGCAGGUCUGGUAUUUCUUGUCCGGGUCCCAUGCACAAUGUUUUCUUUGGCUCUGCCGUUCAUCCUUCUAAAGUGGAUCACGGCUGAAGAAUGACAGAGGUCCAGUGACAAACUUUCAACAUUAUUUAAAAAUGGGGGCAGAAAGCAGGGAGGUCAAACCCUAACGCGGGUGAUGAGGGAAGAAGCGAGGGGGGACUGCGUGUGUUUCUUCUCACAUGUGCUCAGGGGCUGAAAAUCAGGAAGAAAAAUCGCACCCAUGUUCCUUGGCUCCCUCAGGAGCGUCUAAUGGGGAAAAUUAAUGAUCUGGAACGUCACGCCGGAGACGGGAGAGGGGGACCUGACAGCGCCGGCGGCUCCAGGAUGAUGGGUUGUGGUCACCUUCAAGGGAGGGGAGGGCAUCAGGGGGCGUGCAUGUGCCAUCUGUGCCCAGCUCUGUGCUCACUGCCAGCGGGAUUUCUGCCCGAGCUGCUCCGGCUGUGAUGAGCAGGAAAGGCCCUGGGAGAAGGGGCGGCUGCUGAAGGCACAUAGCAAACCUGCUGCUGCGUGGGAAACGGGCUGGAGCGCACGGUCUGGGCAUGCAAGGAAUGGCUUGGCUGGGCUCAGCAGCCUCCAUGAGCUUGUGAUUCGGCUGCUUUUCCCAGAGCCUGCCCAGGGCUCUGGGGUUUGUCACCACGUCCCCUUGCUGGCAGCAGCCUCGUGUCCUGGCUGCAGAGUUCUCGCUGCCCCCAGCCCUGUGAUCCUCAGCACCGCCGCGUGCUUGGGACAAUGCCGUGGCAAAAGCCUGGUGAGAGGCAGAGCGCUUUGUGCACAUCGCUUUUGCAUGGGAUUCAAGUAUUCGGUUGCUUUGUGUUUUGUGCCAGAAGAAGCAGGGAGCUGGGCAAAUCCACACUGUCAAGUCCAGCCCUGCUGCUCCCUCUUCAUUUCCCUCUGUGAAGUGCUCCGGUGUGGACUUUGCAUCCUUGGGGGUUGGAUAGGAUCCUCUCACCCAAGAUUAAAGUAGCGAUGGGUUGAUGGAAGCACAGCCAGGAAGGUGAACCACCAGCACCCAGCUGUGCCUCCAAUGCUUGCAACUGGGGGUUACAAUUGUUUUCCCAGUGCUUUCUCUGAU
Numida meleagris (helmeted guineafowl) is the source of this 1411-nucleotide long non-coding RNA. RefSeq lists it as uncharacterized. The record is from RefSeq and is a predicted model, not a curated record. NCBI's taxonomy places the organism in Eukaryota, Metazoa, Chordata, Aves, Galliformes, Numididae. The transcript is spliced from 2 exons.